UCUACACUUUUUUCCCACACGAGGCUCUUCUGGUACUUACACAAUGGUCCGGCUUCUCAUUUGGUUUAUAUAGGAUAGGAUUGGAUUGAACCAUGUCAUCUACAACAUUGCUCUUUGAGAUCUCCUUUGAUCUAAACUGCGC
Molecule: long non-coding RNA, 142 nt
Organism: Amblyraja radiata (thorny skate)
Lineage: Eukaryota; Metazoa; Chordata; Chondrichthyes; Rajiformes; Rajidae
Exons: 3
Source: RefSeq, a predicted model, not a curated record